ACUACGGGAGGCAGCAGUGGGGAAUAUUUGGCAAUGUGCGCAAGCCUGACCCAGCAACGCCGCGUGAAGGAAGAAGGCUUUCGGGUUGUAAACUUCUUUUAUUGAGGACGAAACAAAUGACGGUACUCACUGAAUAAUCCACGGCUAACUACGUGCCAGCAGCCGCGGUAAUACGUAGGUGGCAAGCGUUAUCCGGAUUUACUGGGUGUAAAUGGCGUGGAGGCGGGACUGCAAGUCAGAUGUGAAACCCAUGGGCUCAACCCAUGGCCUGCAUUGGACACUGUAGGUCUUGAGUGAUGGAGAGGCAGGCGGAAUGCAGGGUGUAGCGGUGAAAUGCGGAGAUAUACGGAGGAACACCAGUGGCGAAGGCGGCCUGCUGGACAUUAACUGACGCUGAGGCGCGAAAGCGUGGGGAGCAAACAGGAUUAGAUACCCUUGUAGUC
RNAcentral lists this ribosomal RNA (443 nucleotides) under uncultured bacterium. RNAcentral's name for it is "partial 16S ribosomal RNA". It matches the Rfam family "Bacterial small subunit ribosomal RNA", at positions 338 to 795 of the family's 1533-position model. The record is from RNAcentral.